RNAcentral lists this ribosomal RNA (458 nucleotides) under uncultured bacterium. RNAcentral describes it as "partial 16S ribosomal RNA". It matches the Rfam family "Bacterial small subunit ribosomal RNA", at positions 338 to 795 of the family's 1533-position model. The record is from RNAcentral.
CCUACGGGCGGCUGCAGUGGGGAAUAUUGCACAAUGGGGGAAACCCUGAUGCAGCGACGCCGCGUGAGUGAAGAAGCGUUUCGGCGCGUAAAGCUCUGUCAGCGGGGAAGAAACACGGUUCGCGAGAGCCGCGGACGGUACCCGACCAAGAAGCCCCGGCUAACUACGUUCCAGCAGCCGCGGGAAUACGUAGGGGGCAAGCGUUAACCGGAUUCACUGGGUGGAAAGGGAGCGUAGACGGCAAGGCAAGUCUGGAGUGAAAGGCCAGGGCUUAACCACGGAACUGCUUGGGAAACUGUAUAGCUAGAGUGCUGGAGAGGCAAGCGGAAUUCCUAGUGUAGCGGUGAAAUGCGUAGAUAUUAGGAGGAACACCAGUGGCGAAGGCGGCCUGCUGGACAGAAACUGACGUUGAGGCUCGAAAGCGUGGGGAGCAAACAGGAUUAGAUACCCGAGUAGUC